UCGGUGGCUGAGCGCCACAGCAAGGCCGGACACACGCACGGUAGCGUUAAUGUGUGGCGGAUAUGCACGCACAGUGCGUGUGUGCAUGCCCACACAUCCAGUACUGUGCGCUGCCGGGUCGUGCUUCCUUCCAUAAGGCCAUGUACUUGUAUGAUAAUUUAGUGGACGCAUUAUAAAAGGAACUUACUUCACUCAGUGUGAAGGAUGGAGAGUACCAACAGAGGAGGAUGCUAGAAAAUGGAGAUGCAUAGACAGUAGGGAAGGAAGAAACUACCUGAAGGCUGACAAUUCAUGGUUGAGGGCAGAUCUAUCGAGGAAACUGCAAAGGAUCUUUUUCUGAGGCCCAAAGAAAGUGAUGAGAUUGCUGGUAGUGUCUUGAUUAUGAUAUGGAUGUUUAAGGCAGAAUUUACCAGACUGAACAUUGGUGACUGCUACAUGGGUGUCUACAUCAGGGCGAGUCAUCCCAUACUCAUUUCAUAGUCUUUGGAGGGCUUGUCAAUAUGUCCAUGGAUGCAAUUUACAAACCCUUUAUUCCUUAAAUAAUAAUGAUUUGUGAUAGAGUCUAAAAUGAUCUGUAAAGGAACUUAAAAAUCCAUGUGAACUUUGGCUCUAGAUUCUGUCAGCAAGCAAGGUCCUAUUUGAAUUAUUCUUCUUGGAUAUUUGUUAUUUAAGGAAAAUCCCAGUGUAAUGGCAUUUGCCUUCAUAGAGUUUAUGGUCAAAACAAACUCCAUCACUCUUCUGUUUCAGCCUUCUAUGUCAUACCAUACAGAGAAUUUAAUCUAGUUAAUUUUGCAUUGAUUCUGAUAACCUGUGUUUGACUAAAGUAUUUCUCAGUAAUGUAACUAAAAUAAAUACA
Long non-coding RNA from Gavia stellata (red-throated loon), 856 nucleotides. RefSeq lists it as uncharacterized. NCBI's taxonomy places the organism in Eukaryota, Metazoa, Chordata, Aves, Gaviiformes, Gaviidae. The record is from RefSeq and is a predicted model, not a curated record. The transcript is spliced from 4 exons.